Molecule: ribosomal RNA, 987 nt
Filed under: Streptomyces sp.
Lineage: Bacteria; Bacillati; Actinomycetota; Actinomycetes; Kitasatosporales; Streptomycetaceae
Description: bacterial SSU rRNA
Rfam family: Bacterial small subunit ribosomal RNA
Source: RNAcentral
UAAAAAGGGGGAGCCUUACCAUGCAGUCGAACGAUGAACCACUUCGGUGGGGAUUAGUGGCGAACGGGUGAGUAACACGUGGGCAAUCUGCCCUGCACUCUGGGACAAGCCCUGGAAACGGGGUCUAAUACCGGAUAUUGACCUUCACGGGCAUCUGUGAGGUUCGAAAGCUCCGGCGGUGCAGGAUGAGCCCGCGGCCUAUCAGCUUGUUGGUGAGGUAAUGGCUCACCAAGGCGACGACGGGUAGCCGGCCUGAGAGGGCGACCGGCCACACUGGGACUGAGACACGGCCCAGACUCCUACGGGAGGCAGCAGUGGGGAAUAUUGCACAAUGGGCGAAAGCCUGAUGCAGCGACGCCGCGUGAGGGAUGACGGCCUUCGGGUUGUAAACCUCUUUCAGCAGGGAAGAAGCGAAAGUGACGGUACCUGCAGAAGAAGCGCCGGCUAACUACGUGCCAGCAGCCGCGGUAAUACGUAGGGCGCAAGCGUUGUCCGGAAUUAUUGGGCGUAAAGAGCUCGUAGGCGGCUUGUCACGUCGGUUGUGAAAGCCCGGGGCUUAACCCCGGGUCUGCAGUCGAUACGGGCAGGCUAGAGUUCGGUAGGGGAGAUCGGAAUUCCUGGUGUAGCGGUGAAAUGCGCAGAUAUCAGGAGGAACACCGGUGGCGAAGGCGGAUCUCUGGGCCGAUACUGACGCUGAGGAGCGAAAGCGUGGGGAGCGAACAGGAUUAGAUACCCUGGUAGUCCACGCCGUAAACGGUGGGCACUAUGUGUGGGCAACAUUCCACGUUGUCCGUGCCGCAUCUAACGCAUUAAGUGCCCCGCCUGGGGAGUACGGCCGCAAGCUAAACUCAUAGGAAUUGACGGGGGCCCGCACAAGCGGCGGAGCAUGUGGCUUAUUCGACGCAACGCGAAGAACCUUACCAUGCUUGACAUACACCGGAACGGCCAGAGAUGGUCGCCCCCUUGUGGUCGGUGUACAGGUGGUGC